GAAUAUUGGACAAUGGGCGAAAGCCUGAUCCAGCAAUGCCGCGUGAGUGAUGAAGGCCUUAGGGUUGUAAAGCUCUUUUACUGGGGAUGAUAAUGACAGUACCCAGAGAAUAAGCUCCGGCUAACUCCGUGCCAGCAGCCGCGGUAAUACGGAGGAAGCUAGCGUUGUUCGGAAUUACUGGGCGUAAAGCGCACGUAGGCGGCUUUUUAAGUCAGGGGUGAAAUCCCGGGGCUCAACCCCGGAACUGCCCUUGAAACUGGGAAGCUAGAAUCUUGGAGAGGCGAGUGGAAUUCCGAGUGUAGAGGUGAAAUUCGUAGAUAUUCGGAAGAACACCAGUGGCGAAGGCGACUCGCUGGACAAGUAUUGACGCUGAGGUGCGAAAGCGUGGGGAGCAAACAGGA
Molecule: ribosomal RNA, 401 nt
Filed under: uncultured bacterium
Lineage: Bacteria
Description: bacterial SSU rRNA
Rfam family: Bacterial small subunit ribosomal RNA
Source: RNAcentral